Molecule: RNA transcript, 2128 nt
Organism: Felis catus (domestic cat)
Lineage: Eukaryota; Metazoa; Chordata; Mammalia; Carnivora; Felidae
Exons: 5
Source: RefSeq, a predicted model, not a curated record
CCCCCGUUCAUGCUCUGUCUCUCUCUGUCUCAAAAAUAAACAUUAAAAAAAAAAUUAAAAAAAAAACUCCAUCAAAGGAGAAAAAUCGCUCAUUCUGUCGUAUCAGGGGUUUUUUGAUUACAAGAGGUGAAACUUAACUUCAGCAAACGUUAAUUUAUCGGAAAGAAAUGUGAGAGACGGUGUCUGGGUUCUCCGGAGACACAGAGACUGAGGCUGAGAGAGAUUUAUUUUAAGCAGUUGCCUCGGUGGCUAUGGGGGUUGGCAAGUUCAACAUUUGCAGGGCGGGCUGGCAGCCUGGAGACUCAGGCAGGACUCCUAUGUGGCAGUCUUGGGAAGGAUGCCUUCAAUAUAUCUGGCUCUUCUCACAUUUUCAGUUCUGGAGGCCAGAGUUCAAGGUCAGGGUGUCAGCAGGCCUGGUUCCUUCGGAGGGCUGUGAGGGUUUCACAGAGGUGGACUGUGAGCCUCAGGGGCAUUCGAGAUGCCUGUGGUUUGAGCUGGCCAGAGGCCUGGCUGGGAGCCAGGAGGCCCAGGUGUCCUGGAUGUCCUCCGGUCAAGCCCUGGGCCCGGGCCAGCCCUCUCUUCCAGGAAACACUUGGCCAGGACCCGGGAAGAACCCGCCGGCAUCCCUUCCGGGUACGUGGGCCAUCCACCUGCGGGCCCAGGCCAGGCCUCCUGUGAGGCCAGCCCCCUGUGCCGCCCAGACUCCCUUCCUGUCUUUGACGGGGAAAUGCAGAGCUCUUCUGCACCCAGCCCACCACCACACAGACUUCGCCGGGGACAAGAGAGGACUGUGCGGCACAGAGGUGUCUCGGGACCUCAGCGUCCCCAUCGGCUGCUGGUAGAAGACUGUGACCACCUCCGAGGGGUGUCGUGAGGACUAAAGACGUGGGCACAGGAGAGGCACGUGGCACAGCGUUGGACACGUGGGUAACUAAGAGCCGGCUUUUUCGACCUGUUUGCAGCGCGACCUGAUGUGUCCUUGGCAACAGUGGUUAACAGGAAUACGGUCUCCCCCGGGGCCCGGCGUGUCCUCUCCUGCCGGAACUGCCAUCCCAAGCGAAGGGCAAAGCAGCGCGGGCCCCCAGCCCCGGCGUGCGGGCUGUCUUCCGCUGAGAUCUGCUUAUUUUUAACCCAGAGGAAAUCUGCCCAAGAAACAGGAUGUCCGUGCUCGCCUGAUUUUUCUUUUUAUGGUCUAUAAGGACGUGAUGGGGAGAAUUUCGCCAUUGGCCGAAAUCGCUUGUUUUUAACAGCAGUGUGAGACGGAGAGCCUAAAACUGGGCUGUUCGCGGACCCAGGAGGAAGACCCCACUCCACUUCCUUAUACGGAUGAGGAAAUGAAAGCUCAGCAGGGUCGCUGAUUUGCCCAAAGUCCACACCAUUUCCUGGCGGUGUAGGACUCGAGCUGGCUGCCUUUUAGGGGACUGGCCUUUCCGCAGAUCUGGCUCGCGGACGGUAGCGCCUGGCGGGAACCGUCGCCCGGUGGAUGGGCGCAGGCCUGUUCACAGACUUUAUUAGCCGCGGAGAUGCAUUCUGGGGCUGCCUGAGAUACCUUCUCCAUUCUCCUGGCUCCCUUGUCUGCCAGCCGUCAGCCAGAUGCUGGAAACCUGACGUCUGCAGGGAACCGAGUAAAAUAGGCUGGGUGGGGCCGGCGUCCCGCACCUGCCUGUCCCUGCGUGAGGUCUGAGCCUGGAGGCCACGAAGUCUGUCCUCUCCCAGCUCAGUCAGGGCCUGGGGUCUGUCCCGGUCCCGAGGCCCCUCCUGGACUUUCGCAGGUGCCUUCGACAGCCCCUGCGGUUGGGCUCUGGCCUCGUUGUGGGGGUGAGAUUUUACCUCUCCCCUCUUAGGUCUUCAGCCGGGUCCGGAAAUGAAAUUGAUCUUGAAGGAGGUGCACCUGGGCAGCUCAGUCGGUUGGUUCAGCAUCCGACUUCGGCUCGGGUCAUGAUCUCACGGUGUGUGAGUUCAAGUCCCGCAUCGGGCUCUCUGCUGUCACAGAGCCUGCUUUGGACCCUCUGCCUCCCUCUCUCUCUGCCCCUCCCCUGCUCAUUCUGUCUCUCUCUCUCUCUCUGUGUCUCUCUUUCUCAAAAAUAAAUAAAAUAUCAAAUAGAAUAAAUUGACCUAGAAGGAUUCA